Molecule: transfer RNA, 63 nt
Filed under: Hebius craspedogaster (Kuatun keelback)
Lineage: Eukaryota; Metazoa; Chordata; Lepidosauria; Squamata; Natricidae
Description: tRNA-Met
Source: RNAcentral
AGCAAGGUCAGCUAAAUAAGCUAUCGGGCCCAUACCCCGAAAAUGCCAUACAGGCCCCUGCUA